RNAcentral lists this transfer RNA (76 nucleotides) under Acidobacteriota bacterium. RNAcentral's name for it is "Acidobacteria bacterium tRNA-Gly". It matches the Rfam family "tRNA". Rfam says of the family: Transfer RNA (tRNA) molecules are approximately 80 nucleotides in length. Their secondary structure includes four short double-helical elements and three loops (D, anti-codon, and T loops). Further hydrogen bonds mediate the characteristic L-shaped molecular structure. tRNAs have two regions of fundamental functional importance: the anti-codon, which is responsible for specific mRNA codon recognition, and the 3' end, to which the tRNAs corresponding amino acid is attached (by aminoacyl-tRNA synthetases). tRNAs cope with the degeneracy of the genetic code in two manners: having more than one tRNA (with a specific anti-codon) for a particular amino acid; and 'wobble' base-pairing, i.e. permitting non-standard base-pairing at the 3rd anti-codon position. The record is from RNAcentral. Lineage: Bacteria; Pseudomonadati; Acidobacteriota.
GCGGGUGUAACUCAGUGGCUAGAGUGCAACCUUGCCAAGGUUGAAGUCGUGGGUUCAAAUCCCAUCACCCGCUCCA